AGGAAGAAGCUUGCUUCUUUGCUGACGAGUGGCGGACGGGUGAGUAAUGUCUGGGAAACUGCCUGAUGGAGGGGGAUAACUACUGGAAACGGUAGCUAAUACCGCAUAACGUCGCAAGACCAAAGAGGGGGACCUUCGGGCCUCUUGCCAUCGGAUGUGCCCAGAUGGGAUUAGCUAGUAGGUGGGGUAACGGCUCACCUAGGCGACGAUCCCUAGCUGGUCUGAGAGGAUGACCAGCCACACUGGAACUGAGACACGGUCCAGACUCC
RNAcentral lists this ribosomal RNA (269 nucleotides) under uncultured Enterobacteriaceae bacterium. RNAcentral's name for it is "partial 16S ribosomal RNA". It matches the Rfam family "Bacterial small subunit ribosomal RNA", at positions 70 to 339 of the family's 1533-position model. Lineage: Bacteria; Pseudomonadati; Pseudomonadota; Gammaproteobacteria; Enterobacterales; Enterobacteriaceae. The record is from RNAcentral.